Molecule: long non-coding RNA, 2678 nt
Organism: Globicephala melas (long-finned pilot whale)
Lineage: Eukaryota; Metazoa; Chordata; Mammalia; Artiodactyla; Delphinidae
Source: RefSeq, a predicted model, not a curated record
AUACAUUCUGCAUUCAUUCAACAAAUAUUUCUACCAGUUUGGGUCUAGGUGCUGGGGAUACAGAAGUGAACACAACAGACAGGCAGGAUCUGUAUUGUCAUAGUGCUGACCUUUUAGGGUAAACCAACAAGACAGAAAUUGAUGAUUUGAAAUCCAUAAAACAAGGUGCUGUGAUAGAGAAUCACGGUAGCACUGCUUUUGUUUUUAAAAUAUAUUUUAUUAACUAAGUAACACAUCCAUUUGGUUCAGAAAUCAGAAAGAUAUUAAAAGGUCUAGUUUGCAAAGUCUCCCUUGCACCACCCCUGUUACCAUCCACGUCAUUAUCUGCUGGCCUGGCAGACCCCUUCCCUGCCAGGGGUAACUCUUUAUUUGUUGGAUCAUGGAGCAAUCAGGUAUCCCAGGAGGAGAGCAGAGAUGGAGGGAAUUCAGGGGCUUGGAGAGUGGCCAUUUACUAACUAGGACAGAAGUAUUCUGUAGUUUACACAGCACAGCCAUACUGGUGUAUAUUUGCUGAAUAUUCAUGUUACCUAUAAGUAACCACUUAUAUUAUAGUCUUAUAUAUUCUUCCAGCAUUUUUCAUGCAAAUACAAACACCAAAGAUAGCAUACUAUGUACUGUCUUCGGCACCUUGCUUUUUUAACUUAGCAAAAUAUCCUGGAAAUAUUUAUAAAUAUAUCAUUUCAUAAAGAGUAUCUUCAUUUUUUCCAGUGGCAUAAUUGCAUAGAGUGGUUUUGGUGGGGACAGCUCAUCUUUGUUCCAUAUGGUAUUGACUGAGGCAGCUCCUCUGGGACUGAAGGAUCCAAAAGAGCUUCAUUCUGUUAACUGGUGGCUCAGGCUGGAUCUCAUAUCAUCUGGGUUCCAAGAGAGUGAAAAUGGAAGCCACAAGGCCUCUUAAGGUCCAGGUGCCAGAGCCAUACAGCUUUUCUUCCACUGCAUUGAAUUGGUCACUGCAAGUCACAGGGUCAAAACCAGAUUCCAGUGGAGGGGAAAUGGAUUCCACUCCUCAGUGGGAAGAGCAGCAUGUGCACAUGGGGAUAGGAGGGAUUGUUGGAGAAGGUCUUCACAGACAUUCUACCACACCAAGGUCCAAUCAAGGUUCACGUCUUAAUUAGUAUUAUCCAUCUUUAGUUUCUUAAAUUAGUAUUUAUAUUUCUCCCACUUCCCCCCGCCCCUUUUUUGGCUUUAGUUUUUGAAAGGUUGGAGUCAAUUGUUCCAUAUUCUGGAUUUACCUUAUUAUUUCCUCAUGACGUCUUCUAACUUCUGAAUUUCCUGUAAACUGCAAGAUGGACAAAGGCCUAAUUGAAAUUAAACAUAACUUACAAAAAUAUUUUGUAUUCAUAGAUUACGUUUUACAAUGAGUAUCUUUUGCCUGAACAGGAUCAUUUAAAAAUCUAAGACAGGACUUCCCUGGUGGCGCAGUGGUUAAGAAUCCGCCUGCCAAUGCAGGGGACACAGGUUUGAGCCCUGGUCCAGGAAGAUCCCCCAUGCCGCGAAGCAACUAAGCCCAUGCACCACAACUACUGAGGCCGUGUGCCUAGAGCCCGUGCUCCGCAACAAGAGAAGCCACCGCAAUGAGAAGCCUGUGCACCACAACAAAGAGUAGCCCCUGCUCAUCGCAACUAAAGAAAGCCUGCGCGCAGCAAUGAAGACACAACACAGCCCAAACCCAGAUCUUCAGUCUCAAGUUGUACCAGUUUGUUCAAAGAAAGGAGAAAGACGCAGAGAACCCUGAAGGGAGGAGCCGGCAAACAGGGGGACAAUGGGCAGUCGGACAAGUUGAGAGAGCAAUACGGGCUGGAGAACACAGACGGAGACGCCGCCAAGCCUCGCCCCGCCCUUCGGGAGCAGUCUAGCGACAACUGGACCGUCUCGCAUCGUCCCUCCUCCCACACAUCUCUCACCUGGAGCCCAAUCUCCACCUCCUCUCCCAGGUCAGCACCCCCGGGUGACUAUCUGUGGAUACUUCAGUGUGUACCCCAAGCAGGGGAGUGUCAGAAAAUAACCACUGCAACACCGACAUCGCAUGCAAAAAACCCCGACAAACUCCUAAAAUCAGCAACACCUAAAAGCCUGUUGGAGACCCACUGGCUCGGAAUGUCGUUUCCUGUCGGCUGGACUGCAGCCCCAUCCAGGCAAGGCCUCCUCUCCCGGGUCAGGGACUCCAAAGGCCGGGCGGGCCUCUCCUCCAGGCGGCACCGGACGCGCCUAAGGCCCCUGCACGCCAGAAGGGCUCUCACACCGACACCCGCCCAGCCUGGGUCUCGGGAAGUGCCCGUCGGCCCCUGGGCUCCGACUUUCCCGCCUUGCGCGGACCCCGAGUCCGGACGCCCCGGGGGACCCAAUCUUCCAGAUCUGGGGCCCGCCCUCCAGCCGUCCAGAUCUGGGACACAAGCCCCGGCGCAGGCCAGCAGAACUCUAAGCAGGAUCUGCAAAGAAGGCGUCGGUCCACGCUUACUCUCCACUCCGCCGUGCCGCGUUUACUGGGAGCGGGACGUAGGCGCGCGCAUGCGCACUGGGUAUAAACCGCUCGUUGGCCGGUGACCAAACAGACUGCGCAGCCAGAGAGCGGGAGGGAAGCCCCGAGCGUCCUGCGCGUGCGCACCCUCCCCUCGGCUGUGCAUCCUGGCCUGGAAGACGCACGCGAGGCGGGGCAGAGCGGACGCAGGGAGGGAGGCACC